RNAcentral lists this ribosomal RNA (460 nucleotides) under uncultured bacterium. RNAcentral's name for it is "partial 16S ribosomal RNA". It matches the Rfam family "Bacterial small subunit ribosomal RNA", at positions 338 to 795 of the family's 1533-position model. The record is from RNAcentral.
CCUACGGGUGACAGCAGUGAGGAAUAUUGGUCAAUGGACGAGAGUCUGAACCAGCCAAGUAGCGUGAAGGAUGACUGCCCUAUGGGUUGUAAACUUCUUUUAUCAAGGACUAAAACGAGGCACGUGUGCCUUUUUGCAUGUACUUUAUGAAUAAGGAUCGGCUAACUCCGUGCCAGCAGCCGCGGUAAUACGGAGGUUCCGAGCGUUAUCCGGAUUUAUUGGGUUUAAAGGGAGCGUAGAUGGGUUGUUAAGUCAGGUGUGAAUGUUUGCGGCUCAAGCGUAAAAUUGCAAUUGAUACUGGCAGGCUUGAGUACAGUUGAGGUAGGAGGAAUGCGUGGUGUAGCGGUGAAAUGCUUAGAUAUCACGAAGAACCCCGAUUGCGAAGGCAGCUUACUAAACUGUGACUGACAUUGAUGCUCGAAAGUGUGGGUAUCAAACAGGAUUAGAUACCCCAGUAGUC